Schistosoma haematobium is the source of this 46-nucleotide non-coding RNA. The record is from Rfam. Lineage: Eukaryota; Metazoa; Platyhelminthes; Trematoda; Strigeidida; Schistosomatidae.
GCACUGCUGAAGAGUCCCAUACUAGGACGAAACGGCCGUCCGGUGC